UUAAUCAUAAUGAAAAGGAGGCCUAAC
Molecule: small RNA, 27 nt
Filed under: Bombyx mori (domestic silkworm)
Lineage: Eukaryota; Metazoa; Arthropoda; Insecta; Lepidoptera; Bombycidae
Description: piRNA piR-bmo-1654844
Source: RNAcentral